AGCAACAAAUGCCCUGCUUCCAGGAAAAGCCUCUAAGCAUCAGGUAACAUCAAAUCGUACCCCAAACCGACACAGGUGGUCAGGUAGAGAAUACCAAGGCGCUUGAGAGAACUCGGGUGAAGGAACUAGGCAAAAUGGUGCCGUAACUUCGGGAGAAGGCACGCUGACACGUAGGUGAAGUGAUUUACUCAUGGAGCUGAAGUCAGUCGAAGAUACCAGCUGGCUGCAACUGUUUAUUAAAAACACAGCACUGUGCAAACACGAAAGUGGACGUAUACGGUGUGACGCCUGCCCGGUGCCGGAAGGUUAAUUGAUGGGGUCAGCGCAAGCGAAGCUCCUGAUCGAAGCCCCGGUAAACGGCGGCCGUAACUAUAACGGUCCUAAGGUAGCGAAAUUCCUUGUCGGGUAAGUUCCGACCUGCACGAAUGGCGUAAUGAUGGCCAGGCUGUCUCCACCCGAGACUCAGUGAAAUUGAACUCGCUGUGAAGAUGCAGUGUACCCGCGGCAAGACGGAAAGACCCCGUGAACCUUUACUAUAGCUUGACACUGAACAUUGAGCCUUGAUGUGUAGGAUAGGUGGGAGGCUUUGAAGCGUGGACGCCAGUCUGCGUGGAGCCGACCUUGAAAUACCACCCUUUAAUGUUUGAUGUUCUAACGUGGACCCGUAAUCCGGGUUGCGGACAGUGUCUGGUGGGUAGUUUGACUGGGGCGGUCUCCUCCUAAAGAGUAACGGAGGAGCACGAAGGUUGGCUAAUCCUGGUCGGACAUCAGGAGGUUAGUGCAAUGGCAUAAGCCAGCUUGACUGCGAGCGUGACGGCGCGAGCAGGUGCGAAAGCAGGUCAUAGUGAUCCGGUGGUUCUGAAUGGAAGGGCCAUCGCUCAACGGAUAAAAGGUACUCCGGGGAUAACAGGCUGAUACCGCCCAAGAGUUCAUAUCGACGGCGGUGUUUGGCACCUCGAUGUCGGCUCAUCACAUCCUGGGGCUGAAGUAGGUCCCAAGGGUAUGGCUGUUCGCCAUUUAAAGUGGUACGCGAGCUGGGUUUAGAACGUCGUGAGACAGUUCGGUCCCUAUCUGCCGUGGGCGCUGGAAGACUGAGGGGGGCUGCUCCUAGUACGAGAGGACCGGAGUGGACGCAUCACUGGUGUUCGGGUUGUCAUGCCAAUGGCACUGCCCGGUAGCUAAAUGCGGAAAAGAUAAGUGCUGAAAGCAUCUAAGCACGAAACUUGCCCCGAGAUGAGUCUUCCCUGAGACUUUGAGUCUCCUGAAGGAACGUUAAAGACGAUGACGUUGAUAGGCCGGGUGUGUAAGCGCAGCGAUGCGUUGAGCUAACCGGUACUAAUGAACCGUGAGGCUUAACCUUACAA
Molecule: ribosomal RNA, 1364 nt
Filed under: Salmonella enterica
Lineage: Bacteria; Pseudomonadati; Pseudomonadota; Gammaproteobacteria; Enterobacterales; Enterobacteriaceae
Description: partial 23S ribosomal RNA
Rfam family: Bacterial large subunit ribosomal RNA
Source: RNAcentral